RNAcentral lists this ribosomal RNA (253 nucleotides) under uncultured bacterium. RNAcentral's name for it is "partial 16S ribosomal RNA". It matches the Rfam family "Bacterial small subunit ribosomal RNA", at positions 524 to 776 of the family's 1533-position model. The record is from RNAcentral.
UACGGAGGAUCCGAGCGUUAUCCGGAUUUAUUGGGUUUAAAGGGAGCGUAGGUGGAUUGUUAAGUCAGUUGUGAAAGUUUGCGGCUCAACCGUAAAAUUGCAGUUGAAACUGGCAGUCUUGAGUACAGUAGAGGUGGGCGGAAUUCGUGGUGUAGCGGUGAAAUGCUUAGAUAUCACGAAGAACUCCGAUUGCGAAGGCAGCGUACCGGCAUCCAACUGACGCUGAGGCACGAAAGCGUGGGGAUCAAACAGG